This 252-nucleotide ribosomal RNA is filed under the name uncultured microorganism. Its description in RNAcentral is "partial 16S ribosomal RNA". It matches the Rfam family "Bacterial small subunit ribosomal RNA", at positions 524 to 776 of the family's 1533-position model. The record is from RNAcentral.
UACGUAGGUCCCGAGCGUUGUCCGGAUUUAUUGGGCGUAAAGCGAGCGCAGGUGGUUUAAUAAGUCUGAUGUAAAAGGCAGUGGCUCAACCAUUGUGUGCAGUGGAAACUGUUAGACUUGAGUGCAGUAGAGGAGAGUGGAAUUCCAUGUGUAGCGGUGAAAUGCGUAGAUAUAUGGAGGAACACCGGUGGCGAAAGCGGCUCUCUGGACUGUAACUGACACUGAGGCUCGCAAGCGUGGGUAGCAAACAGG